Molecule: transfer RNA, 71 nt
Filed under: Stegodyphus mimosarum
Lineage: Eukaryota; Metazoa; Arthropoda; Arachnida; Araneae; Eresidae
Rfam family: tRNA
About the family: Transfer RNA (tRNA) molecules are approximately 80 nucleotides in length. Their secondary structure includes four short double-helical elements and three loops (D, anti-codon, and T loops). Further hydrogen bonds mediate the characteristic L-shaped molecular structure. tRNAs have two regions of fundamental functional importance: the anti-codon, which is responsible for specific mRNA codon recognition, and the 3' end, to which the tRNAs corresponding amino acid is attached (by aminoacyl-tRNA synthetases). tRNAs cope with the degeneracy of the genetic code in two manners: having more than one tRNA (with a specific anti-codon) for a particular amino acid; and 'wobble' base-pairing, i.e. permitting non-standard base-pairing at the 3rd anti-codon position.
Source: Rfam by way of RNAcentral
GCCUUCAUGGUGUAACGAUAGCACACUCGUCGCAUAUUCGAGAGGUCCAGGUUCGAAUCCCGGCGAAGUCA